GCCCAAGUGGCGGAACUGGCAGACGCGCACGACUCAAAAUCGUGUUCCUCCGGGAAUGUGGGUUCGAUUCCCACCUUGGGCA
RNAcentral lists this transfer RNA (82 nucleotides) under Thermoflexales bacterium. RNAcentral describes it as "tRNA-Leu". It matches the Rfam family "tRNA". From Rfam's summary of the family: Transfer RNA (tRNA) molecules are approximately 80 nucleotides in length. Their secondary structure includes four short double-helical elements and three loops (D, anti-codon, and T loops). Further hydrogen bonds mediate the characteristic L-shaped molecular structure. tRNAs have two regions of fundamental functional importance: the anti-codon, which is responsible for specific mRNA codon recognition, and the 3' end, to which the tRNAs corresponding amino acid is attached (by aminoacyl-tRNA synthetases). tRNAs cope with the degeneracy of the genetic code in two manners: having more than one tRNA (with a specific anti-codon) for a particular amino acid; and 'wobble' base-pairing, i.e. permitting non-standard base-pairing at the 3rd anti-codon position. Lineage: Bacteria; Bacillati; Chloroflexota; Thermoflexia; Thermoflexales. The record is from RNAcentral.